RNAcentral lists this ribosomal RNA (202 nucleotides) under uncultured bacterium. RNAcentral describes it as "partial 16S ribosomal RNA". It matches the Rfam family "Bacterial small subunit ribosomal RNA", at positions 326 to 526 of the family's 1533-position model. The record is from RNAcentral.
ACGCUCGACACCUACGGUAGGCAGCAGUUGGGAAUAUUGGACAAUGGAGGAAACUCUGAUCCAGUGACGCCGCGUGAAGGAAGAAGGUCUUCGGAUUGUAAACUUAUUUUGUCAGGGAAGAAAAAAUGACUGUACCUGAAGAAAAAGCACCGGCUAACUACGUGCCAGCACGCCGGACGUAUCUGAGGCGGCGUGGCAAGGC